UACGGAGGGUGCGAGCGUUGUCCGGAAUCACUGGGCGUAAAGGGCGCGUAGGCGGCCUGAUAAGUCGGGGGUGAAAUCCUGCGGCUUAACCGCAGGGCUGCCUUCUAAACUGUCAGGCUAGAGCACAGUAGAGGCAGGUGGAAUUCCCGGUGUAGCGGUGGAAUGCGUAGAGAUCGGGAAGAACAUCAGUGGCGAAGGCGGCCUGCUGGGCUGUUGCUGACGCUGAGGCGCGACAGCGUGGGGAGCAAACAGG
This 253-nucleotide ribosomal RNA is filed under the name uncultured bacterium. Its description in RNAcentral is "partial 16S ribosomal RNA". It matches the Rfam family "Bacterial small subunit ribosomal RNA", at positions 524 to 776 of the family's 1533-position model. The record is from RNAcentral.